Hipposideros armiger (great roundleaf bat) is the source of this 1038-nucleotide long non-coding RNA. RefSeq lists it as uncharacterized. Lineage: Eukaryota; Metazoa; Chordata; Mammalia; Chiroptera; Hipposideridae. The transcript is spliced from 3 exons. The record is from RefSeq and is a predicted model, not a curated record.
CCCACCUCCCACUCCACCCCACAGAACCAGCAGGGAACCCACGAGAGUGACACAGCCAGAGGACAAAGGCUCUGCAGCCAUCGUCAAUGCGUCAGAAUGAGCUUAAGGUCCACACAGACAAGGAGCAGGCGAAGAGGGCAACGCUGAGAAACGGUCAGAGGCCCGGGGAGGUCGGGAGACAGGAGGACCACAGGUGGCCCAGGAGUGGCUCCUGGAGCACAAAAGGGACCUCAGCCCCAAAAGGGUGAAAUCUGGCUAGAGCUCGUAGUUCAGUUAAUCGCAUUGGCCCAAGCCUUGAACCUUUGGCUUGGUGACAGCUCGUGAUGAAAUCACCAGCCGUUUUAAGGUCAUGAAAUCCAGCUAAAGACGAGAGUGGGAGGAGUCACGUGAAGGCUCCCCCAGGGAAGAGGAAAAUUUUCCAGCCCUUGAAGCAGACAAACCUGUGGCAUAAAUAGAGACAGAGAGAGAUUGGGACAACGGGACACGUAACUUCAGGAGAAGCUGCGAAGAGUCAACACGAAGGACAGAAGUUGCCAUGAGAAGAAGUAAAAAGCCUGGAUAGACCGAUGGCCUAAAAGCUAUUAAAAUGUGAGCAAAGGCAUACGGCCCUGGCUGUGACCUAUGUGUCCCACCCCCCAGCUGACAUGUUGGAGUCCUAACCCCCAAUACGAUGGCAUCAGGACGCGGAGACUUUGGGGUGAUUAGGUCACAAGUGCGGGGCCCUCACAGUGGGAUUAGUGCCCUCGUAAAAGGGACCCCACACAGCUCCCUUGCCCUUUCCCCCAAGUGAGGACGCAGGGAGAUGCCUGCGACCCAGCAGAGGGCCCUCAGCGGACCGUGCCGGCCCCCUCAUCUCGGACUUCCAGCCCCCAGAACUGUGAGCGGUAAAAUCCUGCUGUCUGUGAGCACCUGGUUUGUGGGGCUGUGUAACAGCAGCCCCCAAAGAACUAAGACCCCCUCCAGAAGCAUCGGCCCCGGCUGGUUCUGUCACACUACAAGGAGGGGUGAUGCCGUCGGUACUCAGCCCCUCCAGAGAGC